Molecule: ribosomal RNA, 1476 nt
Filed under: Actinomycetes bacterium
Lineage: Bacteria; Bacillati; Actinomycetota; Actinomycetes
Description: partial 23S ribosomal RNA
Rfam family: Bacterial large subunit ribosomal RNA
Source: RNAcentral
UGGCAAGUUACUAAGGGCGCACGGUGGAUGCCUUGGCAUCAGGAGCCGAUGAAGGACGUAGGAGGCUGCGAUAAGCCUCGGGGAGCUGCCAACCGAGCUGUGAUCCGGGGAUGUCCGAAUGGGGAAACCCGGCUGGGGUCAUGCCCAGUCGCCCGUGCCUGAACACAUAGGGCACGUGGUGGGAACGUGGGGAAGUGAAACAUCUCAGUACCCACAGGAAGAGAAAACAAUUGUGAUUCCGUUAGUAGUGGCGAGCGAACGCGGAAGAGGCCAAACCACAGUGGCGUGAUAGACGCCAGUUGUUGCCGCUGUGGGGUUGUGGGAUCACCACGUCGAUUCUGGCGGGUCGACAAAGAGUUAGAAAUGUUUUACGUAGUCGAAGGCCAUGCGAAAGGGCCGGCACAGAAGGUAAUACCCCUGUAGACGAAACGUAGGGCACUCUUUGGUGAUAUCCCAAGUAGCACGGGGCCCGAGAAAUCCCGUGUGAAUCCGGCGGGACCACCCGCUAAGCCUAAAUACUUCCUGAUGACCGAUAGCGGACAAGUACCGUGAGGGAAAGGUGAAAAGUACCCCGGGAGGGGAGUGAAAUAGUGCCUGAAACCGUGUGCCUACAAGCCGUUGGAGCCUGGAAGAUCUUCGGAUCAGGGUGACAGCGUGCCUUUUGAAGAAUGAGCCUGCGAGUUAGUGAUAUGUGGCGAGGUUAACCCGUGAGGGGCAGCCGUAGCGAAAGCGAGUUCGAAUAGAGCGAAUGAGUCGCAUGUUCUAGACCCGAAGCGGAGUGAUCUACCCAUGGCCAGGUUGAAGCGAAGGUAAGACUUCGUGAAGGACCGAACCCACCAAUGUUGAAAAAUUGGGGGAUGAGCUGUGGGUAGGGGUGAAAGGCCAAUCAAACUCCGUGAUAGCUGGUUCUCCCCGAAAUGCAUUUAGGUGCAGCGUCACGCGUUUCUUGUCGGAGGUAGAGCACUGGAUGGGCUAGGGGGCCUACAAGCUUACUGAACUCAACCAAACUCCGAAUGCCGAUAAGUAAGAGCGUGGCAGUGAGACUGUGGGGGAUAAGCUUCAUAGUCGAAAGGGAAACAGCCCAGACCACCAACUAAGGCCCCUAAGCGUGUGCUAAGUGGGAAAGGAUGUGGAGUUGCAUAGACAACCAGGAGGUUGGCUUAGAAGCAGCCACCCUUAAAAGAGUGCGUAAUAGCCCACUGGUCAAGUGAUUCCGCGCCGACAAUGUAACGGGGCUCAAGCACAUCGCCGAAGUUGUGGCAUUCACACCGAUAACCCGGCCGUAAGGUCCAGGUGUGUGGAUGGGUAGGGGAGCGUCGUGUGGCGAGCGAAGCGGCGGGGUGACCCAGCCGUGGACGCCACACGAGUGAGAAUGCAGGCAUGAGUAGCGAAAGACGGGUGAGAAACCCGUCCGCCGGAUGACCAAGGGUUCCAGGGCCAGGCUAAUCCGCCCUGGGUAAGUCGGGACCUAAGACG